Molecule: ribosomal RNA, 609 nt
Filed under: uncultured Helicobacter sp.
Lineage: Bacteria; Pseudomonadati; Campylobacterota; Epsilonproteobacteria; Campylobacterales; Helicobacteraceae
Description: bacterial SSU rRNA
Rfam family: Bacterial small subunit ribosomal RNA
Source: RNAcentral
CAAGAGGAAUACUCAUUGCGAAGGCGACCUGCUGGAACAUUACUGACGCUGAUGCGCGAAAGCGUGGGGAGCAAACAGGAUUAGAUACCCUGGUAGUCCACGCCCUAAACGAUGAAUGCUAGUUGUUGUGGAGCUUGUCUCUGCAGUAAUGCAGCUAACGCAUUAAGCAUUCCGCCUGGGGAGUACGGUCGCAAGAUUAAAACUCAAAGGAAUAGACGGGGACCCGCACAAGCGGUGGAGCAUGUGGUUUAAUUCGAAGAUACGCGAAGAACCUUACCUAGGCUUGACAUUGAUAGAAUCUGCUAGAGAUAGCGGAGUGCUGGCUUGCCAGAGCUUGAAAACAGGUGCUGCACGGCUGUCGUCAGCUCGUGUCGUGAGAUGUUGGGUUAAGUCCCGCAACGAGCGCAACCCUCGUCCUUAGUUGCUAACAGUUCGGCUGAGCACUCUAGGGAGACUGCCUUCGUAAGGAGGAGGAAGGUGAGGACGACGUCAAGUCAUCAUGGCCCUUACGCCUAGGGCUACACACGUGCUACAAUGGGAUGUACAAAGAGACGCAAUACCGCGAGGUGGAGCAAAUCUCAAAAACAUCUCUCAGUUCGGAUUGUAGUC